This 774-nucleotide long non-coding RNA is filed under the name Chinchilla lanigera (long-tailed chinchilla). RNAcentral describes it as "lncRNA (ENSCLAG00000028140.1)". The record is from RNAcentral. Lineage: Eukaryota; Metazoa; Chordata; Mammalia; Rodentia; Chinchillidae.
AUGCGGCGGUGCCGGGGCAGCCACUCCUGUGUGCCCUCCCUCAGCACUGCCUGCGGGUGGCGAGGCUCUGGGGACCCAGUGCUGCACGGGGGGACUUCGAGCCGUGAGUCCUGGGGACACAGUCCCGUGCUUGUCAAGCAGCGUGGUACCCGCUGUGCCCAGGAGAACGGGCCGUCCGUGACCCUAGGAGCAGAAAUCACCAAAAUGGAAACUCUGCCGGGUCCUUCUUUGAAAGGGCGAGCAUGCAGCCCAUGCGUCGUUCUCUUCCACCGGCUGAGAGGCACCAAACGCGGACCUUCCCCUGCCAGUGGCCCUGCCCUUUGUCCCCAUCAGCAGUCCCAUCUGGCAGCGCCUCGUGUUUAUUUCAACUUCAUAAUUAAAGAAGAAUGUUAAGUGUGCGAGUGGAUUCUAUUCCAAGUGUUGGAAGGAUCUGGAACAAUGUAGCCUCUUGGGAAAAGCAUAGAGAAGAAAAAAACCACAUUUUCAAAUAAGAAAUUUGGAAAUAACAGGACAUCUUAGUUUGGAACACAUGCAACUUUCCUAGACUGUCUUUACUUUUUCUCUUUUUCUGAAACAAAAAGCCUUCAAAAAUCAACAAAAAGAGGUCAAUUGUAGUAACAAUUUCAGAAUAUCCAAUAGAAACCAAACAAAGGAAAACAUUUGGAGGUGAUGGACAGGAAGAGGUGAUCGUUUGUACCAGAAUCUUUUUAAAAAAGUGACUAAUGAAUAAUAAAUAUAAACAUACCCACAGGGCUCCUUCCAGCCACUUGUGUC